Molecule: long non-coding RNA, 1118 nt
Organism: Grammomys surdaster
Lineage: Eukaryota; Metazoa; Chordata; Mammalia; Rodentia; Muridae
Exons: 3
Source: RefSeq, a predicted model, not a curated record
CAACUGAGGGUCCCUCUUCCCCAGGUGACUCUAGUGUGUGUCAAGUUGACAGAAAGUAACCGUCACAGAGGGACAGCUAGCUACUCAGAGCACCCUCCCUGCUGCAUGCUUUGGGUAAACAAGAAGUCGUCUCUGAAGCCUUGGAGCUCGGGACUCGCUCCUCACAGCCCCAGAGCCAGUCUCUCCUGACUGAUGCCAUCUGUGUGUAGAGAAAAAGAGAACUCUGAGCCUGAACUGGGGAACUCCUGAAGCUACAACCAGUCUGAUUGAUAUUACCUGAUUGGCGUUACCACCCCCCAUUGUGCCCCCCCAGCACACACACACACCCCCAGCAUACCCCCUCUCUGAACUCCCAACCAGUUGUGGCAUGCUGAACCAAAAAGCGCUCUGGGGAAGAAAGCCAUACUUUAAAUCCCCACUGUGGUCUUGCCUUCUUCUUGUUUCUUUUGCCCUAUCCUGCCUCUGGGAGCCAGUCUUGGGGAGGUGGAGGAGGAGGAAACCAUCAUGGGGAGAUGGAAAAUAUUCCUGGUAUUGUUCUGAGGCCGCAGCCUGUGGCUGUGGAGGGAAAAGGGGGGGGGGAUGGGGAGGAGAGGUUAACAAGAUUAAAAAAGCCAUAAUGAGGCCACAGCACAAACCCUACAAUUAUGCUCCCAAAUUUAAUCAAAACAGCUUCCCGCACUGGGCCUGUAACAUAUCUAAUAGGCCCCGUCAGGUUCUGCCUCUCAGGCCCAGCACUGAGAUAGGACAGAGCCCUGAAGUCUUUUUAUAGAGGAGGUAUAGGGUUGGCCUAACCGGGCACCUCCCACCUACCCCAGCCCAUCCAGGCAAGCUCUCACAGACUUUCCAGCUGUGUGCAACUGCCUUUCCUCCUGUUCCUCAGCCUCCUAUGACACAGUCACCAGCUAUGGGUGUUUCCUAGCUCCCUCAGAGAACCCCCAGGGCUAGCUCUUCUCCUAGCCACAUACAGAAGCUUACCCACUGCAUGGCCUUCUGGUAGGCCGAAAGGUUUGCUUUGUUUUUGUUUGUUAGUUUGUUUGUUUGUUUGUUUGGGCCCCGGGUUGAAUUCAGGGCCUUGCACAUGUUUCCCAGUUCCGAUGAGGGAAACAAACGGCACAUCC